CACACACACACACACACACACACACACACAGAGUGCCUUUGCAGUCUGCUCUUGUUGUGAUAACGCGGUGACUCGGCCUGUACUGACGUCAGUGUGUGCGUCUUCUCUUGCACGCUGUGCAUUCUCUCUUCCCCGCUCGUGUUCCAGGAAACGCUGUGACGUCAAACUGGCAACUAUCUCUCUCCACUCCCUCCACCACACCCGCCCCUUUACUUCCCCCUCCCUCCCCCUCUGCCUGCCUGCCUGUCCGUCCGUCUGCCUGACAACCACUUUAGCAGUUUAGUGAGUUGUGUUUGCAAAGCAGCAGAAGACAGUCAGGCAGGAGCAGCACUGCUUGUACUAAACCAAAGGCUUGUUGACUUGCAAGGAGGGACGCCUGGAGAGAAUCUCCCGUCUCUUCUGCGUGUCUGCAACAGGCUGUUCCCCCUCCAAUUUUAUCUCAGGAGUGAUCUGCAGAAGAAUGUGCACUUUGCCAUUGGGAGCUGGGUCAUCUAGACCACCACGUG
Molecule: long non-coding RNA, 506 nt
Organism: Oryzias latipes (Japanese medaka)
Lineage: Eukaryota; Metazoa; Chordata; Actinopteri; Beloniformes; Adrianichthyidae
Source: RefSeq, a predicted model, not a curated record